RNAcentral lists this ribosomal RNA (253 nucleotides) under uncultured bacterium. Its description in RNAcentral is "partial 16S ribosomal RNA". It matches the Rfam family "Bacterial small subunit ribosomal RNA", at positions 524 to 776 of the family's 1533-position model. The record is from RNAcentral.
UACAGAGGGUGCAAGCGUUAAUCGGAAUUACUGGGCGUAAAGCGUGCGUAGACGGUUACAUAAGUCGGGUGUGAAAGCCCCGGGCUUAACCUGGGAAUUGCAUUCGAAACUGCGUAGCUAGGGUGCGGAAGAGGGAAGCGGAAUUUCCGGUGUAGCGGUGAAAUGCGUAGAUAUCGGAAGGAACACCAGUGGCGAAAGCGGCUUCCUGGUCCGGUACUGACGCUGAGGUGCGAGAGCGUGGGGAGCAAACAGG